GCCAGACAUGGCGGUACACACCUGUAGUCCCAGUUACUUGAGAGGCUGAGGCGGGAAGAUCACUUGACCUCAGGAGUCCUAGGCUCUGUAGUACACUAUGCCGAUCUAUCAGGUGUCCACACUAAGUUUAGCAUCAAUACGGUGACCUCCUGGGAGUGGGGACCACCAAAUUGUCUAAGCAGAGGUGAGCUGGCCCAGGGGUCAGAAACAGAGCGGGUCAAAACUCUCAUGAUCUCAUUGUGCCACUGCUCUCCAGCCUGGACAAUAUAGUGAGACCCCCCAUCUCU
RNAcentral lists this non-coding RNA (287 nucleotides) under Pongo abelii (Sumatran orangutan). Lineage: Eukaryota; Metazoa; Chordata; Mammalia; Primates; Hominidae. The record is from RNAcentral.